CCUACGGGUGGCAUCAGUGGGGAAUAUUGCACAAUGGGGGGAACCCUGAUGCAGCGACGCCGCGUGGGUGAAGGAGCGUUUCGGCGCGUAAAGCCCUAUCGGCAGGGAAGAAGGAGGAAGGUACCUGACGAAGAAGCCCCGGCUAACUACGUGCCAGCAGCCGCGGUAAUACGUAGGGGGCAAGCGGUAGUCGGAUUUACUGGGUGGAAAGGGGGCGCAGACGGUAGCGGAAGCCCGGAGUGAAAGCCCUGGGCCCAACCCCGGGACUGCUCUUGGAACUGCGCGGCUUGAGUGCAGGAGGGGAAGGCGGAAUUCCUGGUGUAGCGGUGAAAUGCGUAGAUAUCAGGAGGAACACCGGUGGCGAAGGCGGCCUGCUGGACUGCGACUGACGUUGAGGCCCGAAAGCGUGGGGAGCAAACAGGAUUAGAUACCCCUGUAGUC
This 441-nucleotide ribosomal RNA is filed under the name uncultured bacterium. RNAcentral describes it as "partial 16S ribosomal RNA". It matches the Rfam family "Bacterial small subunit ribosomal RNA", at positions 338 to 795 of the family's 1533-position model. The record is from RNAcentral.